RNAcentral lists this ribosomal RNA (861 nucleotides) under Paraburkholderia caledonica. Its description in RNAcentral is "bacterial SSU rRNA". It matches the Rfam family "Bacterial small subunit ribosomal RNA", at positions 49 to 908 of the family's 1533-position model. The record is from RNAcentral. Lineage: Bacteria; Pseudomonadati; Pseudomonadota; Betaproteobacteria; Burkholderiales; Burkholderiaceae.
UUACCAUGCAGUCGAACGGCAGCACGGGAGCAAUCCUGGUGGCGAGUGGCGAACGGGUGAGUAAUACAUCGGAACGUGUCCUGGAGUGGGGGAUAGCCCGGCGAAAGCCGGAUUAAUACCGCAUACGCUCUGAGGAGGAAAGGGGGGGAUCUUAGGACCUCUCGCUCAAGGGGCGGCCGAUGGCAGAUUAGCUAGUUGGUGGGGUAAAGGCCUACCAAGGCGACGAUCUGUAGCUGGUCUGAGAGGACGACCAGCCACACUGGGACUGAGACACGGCCCAGACUCCUACGGGAGGCAGCAGUGGGGAAUUUUGGACAAUGGGCGCAAGCCUGAUCCAGCAAUGCCGCGUGUGUGAAGAAGGCCUUCGGGUUGUAAAGCACUUUUGUCCGGAAAGAAAACACGCCUGUUAAUACCGGGUGUGGAUGACGGUACCGGAAGAAUAAGCACCGGCUAACUACGUGCCAGCAGCCGCGGUAAUACGUAGGGUGCAAGCGUUAAUCGGAAUUACUGGGCGUAAAGCGUGCGCAGGCGGUUCGUUAAGACAGAUGUGAAAUCCCCGGGCUUAACCUGGGAACUGCAUUUGUGACUGGCGGACUCGAGUAUGGCAGAGGGGGGUAGAAUUCCACGUGUAGCAGUGAAAUGCGUAGAGAUGUGGAGGAAUACCGAUGGCGAAGGCAGCCCCCUGGGCCAAUACUGACGCUCAUGCACGAAAGCGUGGGGAGCAAACAGGAUUAGAUACCCUGGUAGUCCACGCCCUAAACGAUGUCAACUGGUUGUCGGGUCUUCAUUGACUUGGUAACGAAGCUAACGCGUGAAGUUGACCGCCUGGGGAGUACGGUCGCAAGAUUAAAACUCAAGAAG